GAAAUUGAAAUCGCAGUGAAGAUGCUGUGUACCCGCGGCUAGACGGAAAGACCCCGUGAACCUUUACUACAGCUUGGCACUGAACAUUGAACCUACAUGUGUAGGAUAGGUGGGAGACUUUGAAGAUGAGACGCUAGUUUUGUUGGAGUCGUCCUUGAAAUACCACCCUUGUAGUUUUGAUGUUCUAACGUUGGCCCCUGAAUCGGGGUUACGGACAGUGCCUGGUGGGUAGUUUGACUGGGGCGG
RNAcentral lists this ribosomal RNA (246 nucleotides) under Pseudoalteromonas sp. SG44-17. RNAcentral's name for it is "partial 23S ribosomal RNA". It matches the Rfam family "Bacterial large subunit ribosomal RNA", at positions 2038 to 2282 of the family's 2925-position model. The record is from RNAcentral. Lineage: Bacteria; Pseudomonadati; Pseudomonadota; Gammaproteobacteria; Alteromonadales; Pseudoalteromonadaceae.